CUAAGCCAUGCGAGUCAUUGUAGCAUACAAGGCGGACGGCUCAGUAACACGUAGUCAACCUAACUCGUGGACGUGGAUAACCUCGGGAAACUGAGAAUAAACCACGAUAGAUCAUAGUGCCUGGAAUGGCUUAUGGUCCAAACAGUUUACUGCCAUGGGAUGGGACUGCGGCCUAUCAGCUUGUUGGUGAGGUAAUGGCCCACCAAGGCGAUUACAGGUACGGGCUCUGAGAGGAGAAGCCCGGAGAUGGGUACUGAGACACGGACCCAGGCCCUAUGGGGCGCAGCAGGCGAGAAACCUUAGCAAUGUGCGAAAGCACGACUGGGUCAGUCCGAGUGAUUCCUGAUAAAGGAGUCUUUUGCUUGUCCUAAAAGCACAGGUGAAUAAGGGGUGGGGCAAGUCUGGUUGUCAGCCCGCCGCGGUAAUACCCAGCACCUUCGAAGUGGUCAGGGACGUUUAUUGGGCCUAAAGCAUCCCGUAGCCGGCUUCUGGCAAGUCUUCGGUUAAAUCCCACCUGCCUCAAAAGGAUGGGCUGGCUGGGAAUACCACAGAGGCUAGGAAGUGGGAAAAGCCAGACGGUAUUUCGUGGGGAAGGGGUAAAUCCUUCUGAUCCCAUUGAGGACCACCAUGGCGAAGCGGUCUGCCAAACACGUCCAACGUGAGGAUGAAACUGGGGACAAACCGAUAAAUACCGGUAGUCCACUUGAUCGAGCAAAUCUGGUAGAUGG
Molecule: ribosomal RNA, 728 nt
Filed under: uncultured archaeon
Lineage: Archaea
Description: bacterial SSU rRNA
Rfam family: Archaeal small subunit ribosomal RNA
Source: RNAcentral